UGAAAAGGUGUUGAACGGUGAC
Molecule: non-coding RNA, 22 nt
Filed under: Arabidopsis thaliana (thale cress)
Lineage: Eukaryota; Viridiplantae; Streptophyta; Magnoliopsida; Brassicales; Brassicaceae
Source: RNAcentral